This is a non-coding RNA of Camellia sinensis, 897 nucleotides long. The record is from RefSeq and is a predicted model, not a curated record. NCBI's taxonomy places the organism in Eukaryota, Viridiplantae, Streptophyta, Magnoliopsida, Ericales, Theaceae.
UUUCUCUGCCUCACAGUACAAUGAAAUUCGUGGCAAAGGAGCUUUUAAAGACACUGUGUGAACCUCAUUUCCUCAUAUUGUUUUGAACUUUCAUUGUUUACACUACAAGAAUCGUUCUUCAACAGUUGACAAUUGGUGGUAGAGAACUCAUGGCUUGAGAGAGGAGGCGUUGCUUAUAACACAGUUUUUUUAGAUAACAGUCGGUAGUGGCCACAAGUGACAUGGUUCAUUCUUAACGUUCUCUAAUGUGAGUUGUGUAUUUUAAUUUUUCUUUUUCUUCAUAUUUGUUGACACUAUUAAACCAAUUUGAUAAGAAUGGACUUAGAUUUUAAUUUUAAGAUUGUUUUGUAUUGAAUUUGUUUUGGGUCGAAAAAUGUAGGGUUCUUUGUUUGUUGGGCUUUUGUGAGUAGUUGGCAUUUGGUUAAAUUAGUGUUUAGUCGCUUUGUAUUUAGUUUCCCACCAAAAACACCAAUCUUAAAAUGUCAGGUUACGAGCUAUAAUUUAUGUCAAGAUUGAUUUGUUUAACCUUGGUUGUUUAGGUAAUGGAUUUAAUUUUUGUACUAGCUAAACAAAGUGAUAAUGGCAUUUCUACCAAUCAUUGCUUUAAUCACUCAGUCGGUCAUCUCCCUCCUAUUCAAAAGAUGCAACCCUUUUGAGUACAUGAUGAUAUUUUUGCAUAUCGAUAUUGGAGCUUACUAUUGAUAUCAAAACAAGCUGUAAUAUAUAUGUUUUUUUUAUUUGUAUUGUCAAUACUUUUGUUUUGUUUUAGAUACAAAAAUUUGAGUUCUUGAAUAUAAAAAAUUAUUAGUAUUAUUGGAGAAUGUUUUACAUAUUUUUAUAAAGAAUAUUUGUUUGACAAUUGUUAUAAGGUACAUAUAUAUUAUUCUUGGUAUGAUU